Molecule: ribosomal RNA, 497 nt
Filed under: uncultured bacterium
Lineage: Bacteria
Description: partial 16S ribosomal RNA
Rfam family: Bacterial small subunit ribosomal RNA
Source: RNAcentral
GACGAACGCUGGCGGCGUGCCUAAUACAUGCCAGUUGAGCGCUGAAGGCUGGUACUUGUACCAACUGGUUGAUCAGCGAACGGGUGAGUAACGCGUGGUGAAUCUGCCUUUGCGCGGGGGACAACAUUUGGAAACGAAUGCUAAUACCGCAUAAAACCUUUAAACACAAGUUUUAAGUUUGAAAUAUGCAAUUGCAUCACUCAAAGAUGAUCCCGCGUUGUAUUAGCUAGUUGGUGCGGUAAAGGCUCACCCAGGCCAUGAUACAUAGCCGACCUGCGAGGGUGAUCGGCCACAUUGGGACGGAGACAAGGCCCAGACUCCUAGGGGAGGCAGCAGUACGGAAUCUUCGGCGAGGGGCGAAAGUCGGACCGAGUGACGCAGCGGGAGAAAAGAGGGUCUGCGGAUCGUAAAACGCUAUUGGUAGAGAAGAGCGGUGGUGAGAGUGGAAAGGUGAUGAAGUGACGGUAACUAGCCAGAAAGGGACGGCUAACUACGUG